CAGGACUUGACAUCCCUCUGACCGGCGUGUAACGGCGCCUUCCCUUCGGGGCAGAGGAGACAGGUGGUGCAUGGUUGUCGUCAGCUCGUGUCGUGAGAUGCUGGGUUAAGUCCCGCAACGAGCGCAACCCUUGUCAUUAGUUGCCAGCAGGUGAAGCUGGGCACUCUAGUGAGACUGCCGGGGACAACUCGGAGGAAGGUGGGGAUGACGUCAAAUCAUCAUGCCCCUUAUGUUCUGGGCUACACACGUGCUACAAUGGCCGGUACAGAGAGACGCAAUGUCGCGAGGCGGAGCAAAACUCUAAAACCGGUCCCAGUUCGGAUUGCAGGCUGAAACUCGCCUGCAUGAAGUCGGAGUUGCUAGUAAUCGCGAAUCAGAAUGUCGCGGUGAAUGCGUUCCC
RNAcentral lists this ribosomal RNA (400 nucleotides) under uncultured bacterium. Its description in RNAcentral is "bacterial SSU rRNA". It matches the Rfam family "Bacterial small subunit ribosomal RNA", at positions 975 to 1375 of the family's 1533-position model. The record is from RNAcentral.